RNAcentral lists this small RNA (516 nucleotides) under Pan troglodytes (chimpanzee). RNAcentral's name for it is "retained intron". The record is from RNAcentral. Lineage: Eukaryota; Metazoa; Chordata; Mammalia; Primates; Hominidae.
UUAAAAAACCACCACCAACAUUGCUUUCAGAGAGAAUUUUUGGCUAAGUCCUAUUCAAACCAAUUUCUUGGCAGGAAAGGUGCAGCCCUAUGGAGUUAGCCAUGUAAAAGGAGUUUGAAUAGAAGGGGACAUGCUCCUUUUCUUCCCAAACAGAAUCACCUUUGGAUGCAACAGUGGCUGCACGUCCAUGCUUGACUUACAGUCUUUCUGUCAUAUCUCUACCCUAACCCUUCACACCCACCCCAGUCCCCUGCCAUGUGACAGAAACUUAAUACUCUUUCUUGAUUCCCCAGUUCUGCUUGCUGAGCUGUGGGAUACUGACCUUUUUGGCUGUCUUGGGCCGCUACGUCCCUGGGCUUCUGCUGUCCUACUUGAUGCUUGUCACUGUCAUGAUGUGGCCCCUUGCUGUGUACCACCGACUGUGGGAUCGAGCAUAUGUGCGGCUGAAGCCAGCUCUGCAGCGGCUAGACUUCAGUGUCCGUGGCUACAUGAUGUCCAAGCAGAGAGAGAGACAAU